Molecule: transfer RNA, 67 nt
Filed under: Paradiplozoon opsariichthydis
Lineage: Eukaryota; Metazoa; Platyhelminthes; Monogenea; Mazocraeidea; Diplozoidae
Description: tRNA-Leu
Source: RNAcentral
AUACAAAUGCCAGAGUUAUUAUGGGUUGGUUUUAAGCGCUAAUUAGAGAAAGGUUUUCUUUUGUAUG